UGCAAGUCGAACGGAGAUUGUAGCAAUACAAUCUUAGUGGCGAACGGGUGAGUAACGCGUUGGUGACCUGCCCCAAAGAGUGGGAUAACAGUCCGAAAGGAUUGCUAAUACCGCAUGUGGCUACCGGGUUUAGAAACCGGUAACUAAAGGCGUAAGCCACUUUGGGAGGGGCCUGCGUCCCAUCAGCUAGUUGGUGAGGUAACGGCUUACCAAGGCGAUGACGGGUAGGGGACCUGAGAGGGUGGCCCCCCACAAUGGUACUGAAACACGGACCAUACACCUACGGGUGGCAGCAGUAGGGAAUAUUAGUUAAUGUGCGAAAGCGCGAACUAGCAACGCCGCGUGUGCGAUGAAGGCCUUCGGGUCGUAAAGCACUUUUCUAAGGGAUGAGGAAGGACAGUACCUUAGGAAUAAGCCUCGGCUAACUACGUGCCAGCAGCCGCGGUAAAACGUAGGAGGCGAGCGUUAUCCGGAUUUACUGGGCGUAAAGCGCGUGCAGGCGGUUUGGUAAGUUGGAUGUGAAAGCUCCCGGCUUAACUGGGAGAGGUCGUUCAAAACUGCCAGACUUGAGGAUGGUAGAGGGAGAUGGAAUUCCGGGUGUAGUGGUGAAAUGCGUAGAUAUCCGGAGGAACACCAGUGGCGAAAGCGGUCUCCUGGACCAUUUCUGACGCUCAGACGCGAAAGCUAGGGUAGCAAACGGGAUUAGAGACCCCGGUAGUCCUAGCUGUAAACGAUGUAGACUUGGCGUCGGCGGGUUUAAAUCCGUCGGUGUCGAAGCUAACGCGAUAAGUCUACCGCC
RNAcentral lists this ribosomal RNA (799 nucleotides) under uncultured bacterium. RNAcentral describes it as "bacterial SSU rRNA". It matches the Rfam family "Bacterial small subunit ribosomal RNA", at positions 56 to 873 of the family's 1533-position model. The record is from RNAcentral.